This 1723-nucleotide long non-coding RNA is filed under the name Mytilus galloprovincialis (Mediterranean mussel). The record is from RNAcentral. Lineage: Eukaryota; Metazoa; Mollusca; Bivalvia; Mytilida; Mytilidae.
GUUUAUUGCUUUCAUAUCUUCUUUCUAUCUCAACCCUGGCCACAUUGAAUUGAUUAGAUUUUACUACCACAAAUAAUUAUAUGUUUAGAGUAAACAUGGUAAAGAUUGCAUUCUUGCAGAAGACUUUUUAACUACUUCUGAGAGAGAGAAAGGGAAAAAACUGCUACAAACACAACCUUUUAACAUCCUUUCCAUGAACAUCAAUUAUACUACAUUGUCAUGAUUGUACAAACAACUGUUAUAUAAGUGGGAGGUUUAGCUAGCUAUAAAGCCUGGCUUAACCCACCAUUUUCCUCAAAGGAAAUGCCUGUACCAAGUCAGGAAUAUGGCAGUUGUUUUUCAAAUGUUCUGAUUAUUGAUAGCGUUUGAAUUUGUCUUGGACUUUGGUAUUUUUUUAUACUGUUUUUUACUAAGAAAUUCAAAAUAAUAGAGUCAUGUGUAUGUGCAUAAUCAUUCCUAUCAAGAAAAUUACAUGUAAUGUAUGCAUGGUGCAUUAAUCUUUUGUCUGUCUGAAUAUAUAAAGUAUGUAAUUGGUGAAGUAAUAUUUAAAAUGGAAGCUUUUCCCCUUUUGUCAAUAAUUAUCAUAUCUCGAAUUCAUAGCUUUUUGUCAAUUAUUAAAUUUCCAAUUCAUAGUUGUACUUUUCCAAUACUGCUUAAUACAAUGACAUGUCUUAUUCCUAGUCCCCACUUCAUUUUGAAUGCAAUCUUUACCCUUCAGUACUCAAAAGCACUUUGAUUAGAAUUUCACAUCAUAACACAUACUUAAGUGCUAGACGGUCACACAAUUUAGAUGAAUUGUUAUCAAAGAAAUAAAAAAAAAAAUCCUAUUCCAUAUGUUAAACUUGAUAUCAGGCUUAUAGCAUUGUAUGCCAGGCAUAUUUUUCAUCUACAAAAGAAUUAUCAGCAAUGCACCAAUCAAAAAAGUUUUAAGGCUAAGUAAAUGUUACUAAGAAUCCAUCAAUAUCUGAUGGAACUUUUAAAACAUGAACACAAAAGAGGUUCUUUCUAGGAUGUUCAUGAUGUUUGAGCAUCAUAUGUCAUUAUUAAUAGAAUUAAUUUAACUUUGUAGAUUUACAAUUUAACAAAAUAAACAGAAAUAGCUAUCAUUUCAAAAGUUAUAGUUAUAAAAUAAAGAGUAUUUAAUGCACUGUUCAGUGGUUUAGUAGUACUAUGAAUAUUCAGAAUAUUUUUACAUGCGCUAAUAAUAUUUUUCUUCACUUUAAUUGAAUCAUUCACCAGGCUGGCGUUAAAUAAGAAGUUAAAACUAGAAAUGAUAGAAGGGUUUAAAUUGUAUCAAUUUUCCUCUGACCUUAACCUUUUUCAAGUAAAACAAGAAAAGGUCAUUAGUAAAAUGAAAAUAACGAAAUUGGGUUUAGAUGAAAUAUCAGUUCUUUUAACCUCGUGUAUGUUACCAUGGUUACUAUGAUAAAUUAUUUAAAUGAGAAUGGUUUAUUUAGGAAAAAUACCAUUUUCAAUUGUGUGAGGAAAGGACAUUCCUCUGACAUUUGAAAUUUUGUCUUUAAAGGAGAGAUUUCCGGAAGUAUACUUAAAUUCUGUAUAAGGGAGGUAACUACUCCUUAGCAGUUGAACUGAGUGAAUCUCUUGUAAAGGGAGAUAACUGCUUUAUAAUGUCUAAUCAAGUGUAGAUUAUGUACAGAUACUUUGUUUAUGAGAAUGAUUUGUUUCUUGUUAUUAAAUAUCUUGAAAUAAAAUAAUGUGAAAC